GAACCCUGGACUUCAACAGACUGGAAACUCUACCUUCUGAUAUAUUCCAGCGUUUCAAGUUCUACGAUCUGUGGCUGGGGAACAACAACAUCAAAACGUUAUCUGAAGACUUGUUUGCUGGGCAGGAUAAAUUAGCAUAUUUGCGGUUGAGCGGCAAUCAGCUAGAAAAGCUACCACGCAACAUAUUUCAUGAGCUGUCUGCCUUGGAAAAACUG
This is a long non-coding RNA of Stylophora pistillata, 215 nucleotides long. The record is from RefSeq and is a predicted model, not a curated record. NCBI's taxonomy places the organism in Eukaryota, Metazoa, Cnidaria, Anthozoa, Scleractinia, Pocilloporidae.